AUCGACAUUCAUGUCGGGAUAGCGGCGCAGAAACUGAAGCACGAGUGGUGAGAUGAUGGCGCGC
This 64-nucleotide small RNA is filed under the name Sinorhizobium meliloti 2011. Its description in RNAcentral is "putative ncRNA". Lineage: Bacteria; Pseudomonadati; Pseudomonadota; Alphaproteobacteria; Hyphomicrobiales; Rhizobiaceae. The record is from RNAcentral.